UUUUCUAUAAGAAAUAAUAUAAUAAUAAAUAUCUAUAACUACUCAAAUGCGUUUCUCUUUUCACAGCUCAGAUAUCAUUGUAAGAUGCCGAGUGGUGGUAAUUUUCGCACAUAACUGUAAACAAAUUGACAUCUGUACAAGUAAAAUACAUGCAUUUGAUGGGGGUUUAUUACAAUUGGAUGAAAUCAGUUAUGCGAACAACGAAAAGGCGAUAAGUUAUUUAGGAGAACAAAAGUUUAUUAGGAGGAAAGAUAGAAGGAUGAAAGUUGUGCAUUUAUUCUUAUAUGUCUGAUUACUGAAUAA
RNAcentral lists this long non-coding RNA (303 nucleotides) under Androctonus crassicauda. The record is from RNAcentral. Lineage: Eukaryota; Metazoa; Arthropoda; Arachnida; Scorpiones; Buthidae.